This 5114-nucleotide long non-coding RNA is filed under the name Sus scrofa (pig). RNAcentral describes it as "lncRNA (ENSSSCG00000062110.1)". The record is from RNAcentral. Lineage: Eukaryota; Metazoa; Chordata; Mammalia; Artiodactyla; Suidae.
UUCCUCAUUGUCACUCCCAGUUUUCUGAGAUGUUGUCCUCUGCCAGUCACCUCCUCUCUUCCACCAAACUCAGGACCAUUGGGCAGAGUAGACACUUAUUGAAGAGCUUGUGAUAAAAUAUGGUAAAACAGCACAUUAUGAAUGAGCCUUGGACUUGAACACUAGGCAUCAUGAUCCUUGACCAGCUCCUUGACAGAGAAUUUAUUACUGGCCACUUUUCCCCCAAAGGAUCCUCUCUGUGACCAUUUUCGUUGCCCUCUUUUCAGCACUUCUCUGAUUUCAUAUUUCUAAUAGAAUUGUAUUGAAUAGGUCUGUGCAAAUAUAAUUGAACAACUAUACUAAAAUGUGGUCUCUGCCAUUUUUAUUUCAUACUAUACCCUUUCUCCAGUCCACAAAUGGGAAUAAAUAAUUUUUAAAGAAAAGUAGAUGUUUUAUCUGUGUAAUCCAUUCACAUCAUAGUUUUAGUUUGGCAGUAUAAAUAUGAAAUGACUAUAUUUUCUCCAACACCUCCUUCCCCAACUCGUCUGUGUUACAGUCCCCAUUUCAAUGUCUUAGUACAUAACGCAGAGAAUCUGUACCAACUUUAGCUGUUAAGAUGGGGUGUGAUCUUCAUCUCUUCUCAGUUCCCUGGCUGAGAAAACCACACUUGUGGCUUGUGGCUUGGGGGUUUCCUUUCCUGGGCCACUGUUUGCAAAAGUUAAACCAUUGAGAGUAAGCUAUGGCUGCUAGAGGUCAGUGAAAGCAGUACUGUUCUUCAAAGAAAACAACUUUCCAAGGGUCUAGUGCAAUGUGUUGCUGUGCUUUUUGAAAGGAAAUUCAACUGUACAGUGGAAUUUUGUUUUUAAAAGCUGCACCUGCAGCAGAUGGAAGUUCCCAGGCUAGGGACUGAAUCAGAGCUGCAGCUGCUGGCCUACAGCCACAGCAACAGUGGAUCUGAGCCAUAUCCAUGACCUAGGCUGCAGCUUGUAGCAACACUGGAUCCUUAACCCACUGAGUGAGACCAGGAUACACUUAUAGGUAAGAAAAACUUCAAUUAAGAGGAAAAUCCUGGAGUUCCCAUAGUGACUCAGUGGAAACGAAUCUGGCUAGCAUCCAUGAGGACUCAGGUUCAAUCCCUGGUCUUGCUCAGUGGGUUAAGGAUCAAGCACUGCCGUGAGCUAUGGCAUAGGUCACAGAUGCAGCUCGGAUCCUGCAUUGCUGUGGCUGCGGUGUGGGCCAGCGGCUACAGCUCUGAUUCUACCGUUAGCCUGGGACCCUCCACAAGCCAUGGGUGCACCCCUAGAAAGAUUUUUUAAAAAAAGGAAAAUCCUGGGGUUCCCUUCACGGCGCAGUGGAACAAAUCCAACCAAUAUCCAUGAGGAUGAGGGUUCAGUCCCUGGCCCCGCUCAGGGGGUUUGGGAUUAAGCAUUUCCAUGGUUCAGGGCCCGUGUUGCUGUGGCUGUGGUGUAGGCCAGCAGCUGUAGCUCUGAUUCCUAGCCUGGGAACUUCCAUAUUCAAAGUCAACUAUUGAUAGAUGAGAAUUUGUGGGUAAAGGCUCUGGAGUGUCCUUGACUAGGGGAGGUGCCAAAGGGCCUGUGCAUUUAAUGUGUGGUUUGACUAAUACAGCAGUCCCAGAAUAGCCACAAGAGUUCUGGAUCCCCCCCUGCAAAAGAAUAAGGCUAAGAAUGAAGGGGAAGCAGAAUGCUGAGAAAGGGGUCAAACCAGAUAUGUAGGGAAAGAUGGAAAAAGGAUUGACCGGAGCUUGAGCCAUAAAAUAACCUGGAGCAUUCAAGUCAUUGGUUAGGAUAAUAGAACAGAAAGAUAGCAGGAGAGCUUUCUUUGUGGAGCUGUGACCUCUUAUCUAGAUUGUUUCCCUAUUAGAUUUCUUGUAUAUUUGAGGAUAUCUUAUAAGCCGUUGUUUGGGGGGCUUUUCUGUGAUACACGACCCUACCUAAUAUGAACAAAUACAUACAUAUUUUAAUUUAGAACUGAUGAGUCUGGCAAUCGGAACAUAGGAAUAUACAAGACAGCUUCUGUUCUUAUGAAAUUUUCUGUAUAAUGGGAAACAGACAAUGUAAUGAGUAACAAUGAUGGAACAUGAAAGUGUUCUAAUAAGGAACUUAGAGUUCUGAGCACAUAGAGCAGGAGUGUUAAAUACAAGGAUGAGCUUGGCUCUCCUAGAGGAAAAUACGAUGGGUUUAUAAAUUCCAUGGUUAAGAAUUGAGAGAUACACCCUUAAUACUUGAUAUCUAAUGCUGAUAAGUCACACUUGAAGACGAAGUUCCCGGCCAGACUUGUAAGAAAAGCAGUUUUUUCUACCUCCUGUGAUGAAUUUGUGUUGAUUUAUCUAUCUCCCUCCCACACUCUUUUUCCAGAUUCUUCUUUUACCUGUAGUUUAUACUUGCAGUUGCAUACCAUCUGAAUCAGAAUGUGGAUCAUUGCCUGUUGAAGAAGUGGGCUCUAACCCAAACUGUGGAGUGACAGUGGUAUAGACCAGAGCAACUGUGCCAUGCUUCUUGUUGGGGAUCCUUUUAAGGUGCCCUCAAGUUAACUUGCUGAGCAAAUAUAGAAGGAUUUUUUAUUUUGCAAAUAUAGAAGCAAAUCAGUCUCCUUCUUAAAUAUAAACUCCUUUAUGGCCCAUGAGUAUUAUUUAGCUUAGAGCCAGUACUGAUCAAAACCACAUUUCAAAGAAGGGUAAAUAUGCUUCUGGUAACAUCCCCUUAAGAAAGUAACUGCUAGGAAAAAAAAAUAGUGUUAAGAAGUCUUUUCAGAACAAAGUACUAUAUCCCUAAACUUAUUUCAGGAACAAAAUUCUAUUUGGUUGAUAUGUUUGAGACAACCUAGCCCUGUUCCCAGAACAAUGUGCAAUGGUGUAAGAGUACAAUUUUUUUUUCAGCUGCACCCAUGGCAUAUGGAAGUUCCGAGGCCACGGAAGAAAUCUGAGCUAGAGUUGCAACUUAAGCCAUAGCUGCAGCAACACUGGACCCUUAACCCACUGUGCCAGUGGGUACCAUUUCUUAAUGGGCCAUUAGAUGUUCUAGGUUAUACAUAUAAUUAAUCAUUUUGUUGUUCUCCUAUAAUUACACAAUUAAUGGAGAAAAACUCCUCUAUAUUUCAAACACUAGUCUGAGAAAACAGCUGGCUCUGCAUCAGAGCACUAUAGGACAGCAAAAGCUCUGAGUAGGGAAUUCUGUUCAUUAACUGAGAUGUUGAGGCAGAAGGUGUAGUUAUUGUCCCUGCUUACAGUUUUAAUUAUAUAUUUGAAGAGAACAGAAACAAUCAGGUGGCAAAUUUUACUUCAGUAUUAAAAAUGGAAUACCAGCUCCCUAAAAUCAGAACAUAGACAUUGGGUGAUCGGAUGAAUAAUUUAAGACUGAUUUGUUAACUGGCAGGAGUGAAGUUAGCCGUGCAGAGAGACACACUGUCAUUUGCCAGCAAUUUACUAUGUUUUUGAAAACCACAGGCAGCAAUUUACAGAAAAGAUUAGGCCAGUUACUGAACAUGGGUGACAUUUUCUUGAGUUAAGCUGUCAAUCUGGAAAGUCGUUCACUGACAACUGGCGUUUGGAAUGAGGUUAUAAAGUUUAUGAAGAACUACUUUUACCUGAGAAUGUCUCUACUUCAGCUCUGGGGGACCCCUGAAUCACACCUCCUGCCAGGAUUCAACGUGCAUAUGCAAAUGAGGACUGUCAGGGUGGUGCACCUGCUCCCAGAACCAUUAAGCACUCACUGCUCUAAUGCACUUGUCCAUGAGAAAGCAUGUGAUGGGCUUUGUUCCUUAGAGCUGAUAUUGUUUCAAGGAAGACACAAUGAACGCAUUUUAUUUAACCUAAGCCAUCUUGAUAAUAAAAUUAAUCCUGCACAAGAAUUCUUAUCUUUUUAGUUGCUUUUCAAAAGAAUAUGGUAUGAGCAAAGUAGAAAGUUACCCUUGGCUACCACAGUAAUAACUGCUGCAGGGCAAGAUCCACUGAUGAAUGAUAACAUUAAUGGGCAGAACUCCAAGGAGAAACUGGGCUGUCUGCAUAGCCUCAAAGUACCUACCUCAAACAUUUACUAAUUACUGUGUGGGUUUUAACCCAUGUCUACCGAUUGUUUUUAUAUUCACCUCCCGCCUAGGAGUUGAAACUUAGUAUUUCUUCCUUUCACUAUGGACUGAAUUUAGCAAGCUGCAUCCAAAGAACAAAGCAUGAAAAGAGGGAAAUGGGAAUUUGACUGUGGAGAAACUCUAUUAAACAGAACCUUAACCAAAUGACCCAGGUUGGUAUCAUGUACUUCAUGACAUGAUGUGAUGAGCUGGGCACUUCAUCUCUGUGCUCUCCUUCCCCCCAGUUUAUAAUCCUCUCUAAUUAUGAGGAAACAUCAGAAGACCCAAACGAAGGCUAUCCUACAUAAUAUCCAGGAUUCUUCAAAAAUCUCUAUGCCAAGUUUAUAAAAAUCAAGUAAAGACUGAAAUACUGUAACAGAUUAGAGAUGCAACUGAGUUAACUAAAUAAAACUCGGUAUCCUAGGUUGGAUCCUGGAACAACAACAAUAAAUAUUAAAACAGGUAUUAGUGGCAAAAUACAAAUAAAAUCUCUAGCUUAGUUAACAGAAUUUUACCAAUAUUUUUGCUUACACUGAGAACUCUACCCAAUAUUCUGUGAUAAUCUAUGUGGGAACAGAAUCUGAAAGGGAAUGGAUGUGUGUAUGUGUAUGACUGAUUGCAUAGCAGAAAUGAUCACAACCUUGUAAAUAAACUAUACUUCAAUAAAACUUAAAAAAAUAAGGUAGAAGCAGGCAUUUCAGUUGCUAGUUUACAACUGAAAACAUUGUUUUGAUAGACAAUAGUUAUGAAAGUUAACAUUAGUAGCAGAGUGAAAGUAGAUGAGAAUCCUCUGUACUAUCUUUGAAACUUUCUCUGUACCUAAAAGUAUUUCAGGAGUUCCCAUUGUGGUGCAGCAAAAAUGAAUCUGACUAGUACCCAUGAUGAUGUGGGUUCAAUCCUUGGCCUCACUCAGUGGGUCGGGGAUCUGCCAUUGCCGUGCUGUGGUGUAGUUCACAGAAGAGGCUCAGAUCCCUCGUUGCUAUGGCUGUGGUGUAGGCUGGCAGCUGCAGCACCCAUUCGACCUCUAGCCUGGGAACUUCCAUAUGCCAUGG